This 497-nucleotide ribosomal RNA is filed under the name uncultured bacterium. RNAcentral's name for it is "partial 16S ribosomal RNA". It matches the Rfam family "Bacterial small subunit ribosomal RNA", at positions 28 to 507 of the family's 1533-position model. The record is from RNAcentral.
GAUGAACGCUGGCGGCGUGCCUAAUACAUGCAAGUCGAGCGAACGGACGAGAAGCUUGCUUCUCUGAUGUUAGCGGCGGACGGGUGAGUAACACGUGGAUAACCUACCUAUAAGACUGGGAUAACUUCGGGAAACCGGAGCUAAUACCGGAUAAUAUUUUGAACCGCAUGGUUCAAAAGUGAAAGACGGUCUUGCUGUCCCUUAUAGAUGGAUCCGCGCUGCAUUAGCUAGUUGGUAAGGUAACGGCUUACCAAGGCAACGAUGCAUAGCCGACCUGAGAGGGUGAUCGGCCACACUGGAACUGAGACACGGUCCAGACUCCUACGGGAGGCAGCAGUAGGGAAUCUUCCGCAAUGGGCGAAAGCCUGACGGAGCAACGCCGCGUGAGUGAUGAAGGUCUUCGGAUCGUAAAACUCUGUUAUUAGGGAAGAACGUAUGUGUAAGUAACUGUGCACAUCUUGACGGUACCUAAUCAGAAAGCCACGGCUAACUACGUG